AUGGCGCGAUCACUGGUAUCCCGUCUCCCUCAUCGCCGAUCUCGACCCCCGCCGCCCCACCCCCUUCCAACUCCUCAACCGCGACAUCGUACUUUGGCGCGAUCCCGCCUCCUCCUCAUGGAUCGCCUUUGACGACCGCUGCCCCCACCGUCUCGCCCCGCUCUCGGAGGGGAGAAUCGAUGAAGACGGUAAACUCCAGUGCUCGUAUCACGGCUGGUCUUUCGAUCCGACCGGAUCCUGCACCCGGAUCCCCCAGGCGGCGGCCGAUGGGCCUGAGGCCCGGGCGGUACAGUCGCCACGGGCAUGUGUCGCUAGGCUGCCGACACUUGUCUCUCAGGGGCUACUCUUUGUCUGGCCGGAUGAGAAUGGGUGGGAGAAGGCAGCAGCGUCUAAACCGCCUAUGUUGCCGGAUGAUUUUGAUGAUCCGAGUUUCUCGUCGGUGACGAUACAACGGGAUUUGUAUUAUGGAUAUGACACGCUGAUGGAGAAUGUAUCGGAUCCUUCACAUAUUGAAUUUGCGCAUCACAAGGUCACAGGCAGAAGGGAUAGAGCAAAGCCUUUGCCAUUUAAGUUGGAAUCUAGCGGCCUAUGGGGAUAUGCUGGGUCAAAUACUGGGAAUCCUCGAAUCAGUGCUCAGUUUAUUGCCCCCUGUUAUGCCUUAAAUAAGAUAGAAAUAGACACAACAUUACCCCUCCUCGGUGCCCAAAAGUGGGUUAUAUGGAUUUGUUCCUUCAACAUACCUAUGGCUCCUGGGAAGACUCGUUCCAUUGUUUGUAGUGCUCGCAACUUUUUUCAAUUUACAAUGCCAGGGCCAUCGUGGUGGCAGCUGGUCCCUCGCUGGCACGAACACUGGACAUCAAACAAGGUCUACGAUGGUGACAUGAUUGUCCUUCAAGGUCAAGAGAAAGUGUUUCUUUCCAAAUCCAAGGAGGCGUCCGGAGAUGUCAAUGAGCAGUACACGAAAAUCACAUUCACGCCGACACAAGCAGAUCGAUUGGUUCUGGCAUUUCGAAAUUGGUUGCGGCGAUAUGGCAACAGCCAACCUGAUUGGUUUGGGUCCCCCAACCAACAAUCUUUACCCUCCACAGUCCUAUCCAAGCGUGAGAUGCUGGACAGGUACGAGCAGCACACCCUCAAAUGCUCGUCAUGCAAAGGCGCUUAUGACGCAUUCCAGACACUGCAAAAGAUACUUAUCGGUGCGACCGUCGUCUUCUGCGCGAGCGCCGGAAUCCCUUCGGACAUCCAAGUACGACUUCUGGUGGCGGGGGCAGCUCUAGUGAGCGCGGCUUUGGCAUAUGCGUUGCACGAGCUACAGAAGAACUUCGUCUUCGUCGAUUAUGUUCAUUCUGAGAUUGACUGAACAUAUUUCCUUACCAGUUUUAUACUGAGAUUGUGUGUAAAACAUUGUGAUUGUCUGCAGUCUUGAUCGGUUUUCUUUUGUAUUUAUAUAGUUAUUGAUGUAGACACAGAGGGAAAGGGGAACUAAGUGUAAAAAGAGAAAUUUCCGAGAAGUAUAAAUAUUUUUAUUGAAGAUGUAAUAUCAGCG
RNAcentral lists this unclassified non-coding RNA (1546 nucleotides) under Hevea brasiliensis (rubber tree). Lineage: Eukaryota; Viridiplantae; Streptophyta; Magnoliopsida; Malpighiales; Euphorbiaceae. The record is from RNAcentral.